This 521-nucleotide long non-coding RNA is filed under the name Amborella trichopoda. Its description in RNAcentral is "long non-coding RNA (ATRI_LNC004967)". The record is from RNAcentral. Lineage: Eukaryota; Viridiplantae; Streptophyta; Magnoliopsida; Amborellales; Amborellaceae.
AAAUGUGAACCAUGCACUUCAAUAAGUUAAGUAUCAAAAGUUCAAAACCCAUUCAAAUCCCACUAGACAUUUAAAAGAAGAGAAAAAGAAAGGCAAUGCACUUAUGAUUCGAAAAAAGCAAUAAACAAAAACAAAAAAAAACCAGGAAGGAUUGCUUAUAUAAAAAUCCCUAGAGAGAAACUUGAUAAAGAAUAAUCUCUCUAGUGCCAUAUGAUUUCCGAAGUAUUCUCCCACCAACCUACAAUAGGAGCAAUCCCUCUCCAUUGUUGCCCAAAAAUCAAUUUUACUGUUUCAAGAGAGAAACUAAGGAAUGCCCAUUUCAUGGAAACUAACUCAAAAUCUCUCUCUCAAGCAAUUGGAAAAUUAUCUAAUAAAAGAAACUAAAAACCCAAGAAGCUAAAAAAACAAGUAAUUCUAAAAUAGCAUACCUAAUUUCAAUUUUAGAGAAUUAAAAUGAUUUCCUUUAAAAAAAUCAAUAUUUUUUAAACUGAAAAGCUCAAAAACUUACAUUCCAAAAAAAU